ACGGGAGCCACCUGGAGCCUCAGACCCACUGUCUCAGGUGGACCAAAGCUCUGAUGCUUUUGUGAAACUCCCAAGAUGAUACAGUUUACUGACAAGUCAUUUGAAAACACAGUCCAGUUUGAAGUUGCUGAUGACUCCAGAGCCUAAGGGGCUGGACUCUCCUUGGAGGCUGAACUGGGGCUGCCCUCCUUCCAGCCACCAUCAGGCAGAGCUGCAGGCUCCACAGGGUAGCCACCUGCCCACCUCUGAAGUCUGUCUGCACAGGGAGACCCAGGCUCCACAAUCAGCUAUGACACCUGCGUAUGUAGACAGUGUGCAUUUCAGAGCAUGUUACGGGGUGCAGCUAUGUGCCUGGGGGUGCUGCUUCACACCAUCUGAGCCUCUGUUCCUCAAGUGGCCAAGGACACUUCAAAUCUUCCCUGCCUCGUGGUUUGAGUGUGGGCACCCGUGACAAGCGUGGGCCAGCCUGCACUUGGCAGGAGCCUCAGGUGGGAUGAAUGGGGCUGGCCACGAAGCACUCUGUGGAGUCUGAUCUGGAGGAGCUGGAGGCGCUUUCCUCUCAAGGCUGUGACCUACUGUCCGGCGCCCACCUUCCACGUGCCCUGUGUACCAUACACACGCCGGACACACCCUCGCCCUGCUCAGCAAGCACACACCUGGUGUCUCACCUGAGCUAGCAGGCCCAGGGGCAGGUGUUUGGCGCCCAAGCUGCGGUGGAAUUUGCUCUGCAGAGGUGAUUCAGCGUCCAAACUCGUGGAGCCCAGGGUGCUGAGGACACAGGCGGAGCCAGGCUGCCCAGGCAGGUUCCUCCUGGCCCAGGCUUUCAGCAGGAAUGUUCCUCCAGGCACUGUCUGGGGCCUUGGCACCAGAAACCCACCCUGAGGGCAUUCAUAGGCUUGCAGAGGUCACGUGGGUAGGUGGUGCCUGCAGGGCUGGCUCCUGGGCCUGUAGGCCAGCUAUCCCUGCUCCCACUCCCUCUCUGUCCGCUGCAUCCCUCUCACCCAUCACUGUGGGGCUGGCUGGGCCACAAGUGUCCAGCCUGAAAGGAUGAAAAGUUGGGAGAGAAAAAUAAACCUGACAUCUGCUUCUGAGAAUACAGCACCCAAGUAGGAGAGGCCUGUUUGGGUACCUCAGCAGCCUCUGUUCUGUUUUUUGCAGGGACAAGCUGCCAGGCACUAUGGAUCCCAGUGCAGGGUUGGGAGCCUGCAGUGCUGGGCCAGGUCUUCUGAAGUGCUCCACACAGUCUCAGGCAGGUUCAGAGAGAGGCAGAGGCGAGCUGAGUCUGGGGCAUCAUCAUCACUGUGCCACCUGCAGUGGUGAAAGGGAAGGCAAGCUCAGUGCAGGCCUUCCUCCACGCCUUCCUGCACUCUUGGAUCUCAGCCCCUCUUGGGCUAGUGGGCUUCUCCCUAGAGGAUUGUCCUGGCUUCUUCCUCACCCCAGGAGGUCUGGCUGUACCCCAUGUGGGCCAUCUUCACCCGUAGGCAGCCUGUGCUUUGCAGUGGGCUGCUGGGAGAGAAAGCCCAGCCCCGGGAGAACACCCCCCUUCCUACUGCCUGCUGGCUUAGAUAACCACACCUUUAUUAGUGCAGAGAACGUGUGAUCUCAAGUCAGUUAUGGAGGCUGGAAUUUUGAACACUUCAUUGUAUGCAGAUAUUUAUAUGGAACACCUGACAAAAGAAAUUAGAAGCACAUUUUUCUUCUUUAAAUUUUUAAUUGACACAGGAGACUUACUUUAGGGGUACCGUGAUAAUUCUAUACAUACAUAUCACACAUCAAGUCAGGACAAUUAAUUCUUCUGGCUCUGGGAACCUGCGUCAUUUCUGAGCCACUUCUGGAUGGUGGGCCCUUAGGACCAGGGGCUUCUGCCCCUGAGCUCUGUGGCCUCCACCUGCAUGCAGUGUUCCUGAGGGCUGGCUGCUUCCCAGGUGGUGUUUCAUGUCGCUAUCACACAGGAGCCAGACGUUUGCCUGGAGGUGCCAGUGCGAAACUAGAGGUUUUGCUGCUUGACCUUACUUUUUCUAAUGACAAUAACAUUUUGUGUACGAUUUGGAGUUACUGAAGCAGACGUAUGUGCAUUUUCUUUUUUUUUUUUUUUUUUGGUACCAGGGAUUGAAUUCAGGACUUUGUGCUUGCGAGGCAGGCGGUGGAACCACUGAGCUAAAUCUCCUGCCUCGUAUGUGCAUUUCUGUUAUUGUUCCCACAUCCUAGCUGCCUGUGUAAUUCUUAGCCCUGCUAUACUGCUGUAGAAAUGAAGCUCAGAAAUUUAUCCAAGACCAGAAGGUUAGUCAGUGGUUAGGAGUCCCAUUAUGCUGUGUUGACCCAAAACAAACACCUCAGCAGUAGCUGGGGGUCUUCAGAGCUCAAGAUUUAUGCUUUUGCAUUUUUUAAUGUAAAAUAUACGUACAAUUUACCAUCUUCACCAUUUUUAAGUGUGUGAUUUAGUGGCAUUAAGUGCAUUCUUACCGUGUGAACCUUAGCACCUUCCAUCUCCAAAACUUGUCUCUCAAAAACUGUUUCAUUAUGUAUGGAAGAAGAGGCAGUGAAGAUACCGCCUUUGGAGGUGCCCUGUGUCUAAGUUACCUGUAUUGAACACAACAUUUGAGCUCAU
Heterocephalus glaber (naked mole-rat) is the source of this 2608-nucleotide non-coding RNA. NCBI's taxonomy places the organism in Eukaryota, Metazoa, Chordata, Mammalia, Rodentia, Bathyergidae. The record is from RefSeq and is a predicted model, not a curated record.